GAUAAAAACUCUCAUUUCAUCUGCUAAAAUGUUGGCAGGUGCAUUGCAGCCCUCUCCGACUGAUCCCCUCCAGAAACACGCCCAACGUAGGCCAGCAAGCCCAGGAGCAUCUUGCAGCAGCUUUGUCUCUUCUUUCCAGGAGUGGUUUUGUGGCUGUGUGCUCGCUAAUGGGAUGGGGAAGACCUGUCUAGCAGCACCGAGGGGCUCGUGUUUUCCUGAAAUUGCUGGUGAUGUCCCUGGGCAGAGGAAAAGGGAGAGGGAUUAGCCUCCGCAUAAGACCUCUGUAGCUCUUGGGCAGGAAAAAUCAAAAAGGAAAUUUAGUAGGGCAUCAUUUCUGAACUCAUGCUACUCAACAUAGUAUGUAAGAUUCACUCAGCAUCACUUUCUUGAAAUUCAAUGUGGCAAAGCGUCAUCCCAUCAAAUGGCAGAAGACUGAUAAAAGAACAGUCAGGCAAUGGGACAAGAUCCUGCCUGCAUGUCUUUGGGUUUUUCUGGACUCUAUCUGGCUAUAUAAAUACCCAAAGAAAGCCUUCUAAGCUGGAAAAUAGCAAAAAGGACAACAAAAUCCAUUUUUUCCCCAGUUUAUUUGAGUAAGAUUAAUCUAGGUCUGAUUUUUCAAGAUUCACAGCCUGAAUUUUCCACAGGCUGGACACUUGUGUUUGUGGCCUCUCAAAGGGGUGAGGAGAAGGGAGGAAAAAUCCUUUUUUGAAGCUGUAUGAGGGGAUUCAUUGCAAGGGCGAAGGAAAAUUUCAGCUCGGUCUCUGGGAAUUCUUCUAGAGCCAAGAAAUCUGCAUUGUUGGAAAGAGUCUCCCAGAGGAAGUGAUUGAAAUAUCAUCGUGUGAAUCAUAUCUGUAACAAGGAAUGACCUUUAGCAGCCCAUGUUAAAUGAAGGAUCCUGGUUUGGGGGUAUCCAGCAGGGCUGGGCUGUCCCACCACAUUACUUGCCACUAACUGUGCUGCAUGAGGUCCUCAAGGACAGCUGUGGGAUGGUCCUCCUGCUAUUUAGAGAGGGCUGAGCCUCCCCAAAGGAUUAAAAGAUGAGCAUAGAGGUGAUAAAAACUGUGCAUGGGGUAUUCUCGUGGUGUUCUUGUGUAGUGUUGGCUGAGAAGAGCCAUGGUUGGAGACCUGGCUCCAUCAGGGACAUGGGGACAGAAAGCACAUGGGAGGUCGAGGAUGGCAGGUGCGCUUGGGACCUGCUCUGGGGAUAGUUGGUAGCCUGUACAGGGUUGGAAGAAUAAGUUUUGGGGAAGUGAAGAGUGUGCUCUGGGCUGGGCCGUGACACAACAUCUCUGGGAGAAAAUGUAGCCAUGAACUCAUUUGGGAUCUGGACUGCAAGUCUUGCUUAGGGCUGAGCAGGAGUUAAUUCCAGACAUGCUUUCCAUCAUGCGUUUUGCUCGAUGUUAUUACUUCCACCAUAAUUUCCCUGUCACCUCCAUCAAGACUUUUGUGUCAGGGACUAUGUACACGGACAGCAAAAAGACAGUCUGCUCCAAAGAGCUUAAAAUCCCCACGUGUCUUGCAUGAAGCUACUGAAACGGUUCACAAAUACCUGAGGAAGUUAUCAGAUACCCCACCGACCUUUCUAUCCAUCUUAGGAGGUGGAGAGAAGAAAGCAAAACCCACCUAAACUGCUGUUUAUUAUCUAGCUUUAACAAAUAUCUACAUUUUCAGUAGUUGCUUCACCCUGCCAGACAUUUCUACUCUGCUUCAACUCAGUCCUGCUGAAGCAAACAUUAACGGCUCAUCCAAUUGCCUAUAUUUAACUCCCCAAAUCUGGCACAGAUUUACACCAGCACUGGUAACAAUGGCACUGAACACCUGUCUGUGACUGCAUUUGCCCAGGGAUUCACUUCGUUCCAUGCUGUGUGUUUAAUAAUUCCUGCGAACAAUGGGACAAAUAAACAUAUUUUUACCGAGCUCUUACUCAAGCCAACGCCACCGUCCAAAUUGUACAUGAGAGGCCUGCAGAGGCUGGUGGUUGUUUCCUAGACUUGUUGCCUCUUUCCCUCAGAAACGACGCUGUCAGCAGCUCUGUGCUCAGAGAGGGCAUUUACCGCUUGUAUGUAAGGAAGGAAGAAGGAAGAAUGAGCAGGAAAGGGGCAGCCGUGCAGGGCUCUGAAGGCAAGGAUGAUAAAUGUGAACUUGAAGCUCUGGAGGACAGGGACGUCUUCUAAGACAGGCCGACGUGGUCUGAGCAAAAAGGAUGGGAGAUGGCUGUAGUGCAUGGCCGGGGAUGGAAUAAAGAAGGGUUGCAGGAGUUGGUGUAGGUGGUGGGAGCUGUUGGUGGUUGAGUAGAGGGUAUAUAACACAUUACAGCUGUGUGGUGGAAGAAGACGUAGGAAUGAGGGUGGGCAGGGUUGGUGAAGGCUGGCAGUCCUGUCUUUGGGUGGGGAAAUGAUUGCAAGGCUGUGUCUGACAAGGAGAAGUUGGCUUCACCUGGUGUCAUCUCCCAGGGGAAGGCAACUGGAGAGCUGUUGAGAGCAGAAAGGACUGACUCUGUGCCCAGCAUGGGCUGCUGCAUGUUAUAAGGGCCACAUAGCAAUUUAAUCCUCUAACUAAUGGUUUUCCAGGUAUCAAACAGUGCUUAAUGUUUCCUCUCCAGGAAGAUGGGCCUUGCCUUGUGUGGUUGAGAAGCUCCAUCCCCCCACUUGCAGCUAGCGUCUUGCUGGAAAUGUGUGGAUGCACAAGAGUGGGUGGCUCAGCAGGACAGAUGGGUGGUUUGGUUACAGUGAAAAUUUAGGGCUUUCAAGCCUCAAAUACACAGGGAAACCUUCUGACCCGAGUGCUGUGCUCAGCCCCUUCUACCUGUCACAUCUGGGAAGGGAUCUACCACACAAGCUUGGAGAAGCGUUGCUGUUGACCAUGAGCUUGACAGUGGUCAAGGGGACAAAUUUACCUUCACUCAGAUCAGCUGAACUCUGGGUUUACAAAAAAAAUAAAAAAUAAAAUAGUAAUUAAAAAAAAAUUGGCAGGCUGUGUCUGUCCAGAGUCUGAAUGAAUAGAAACUCUGAAGGAAGCACCUGCUGCUAAAGGAAAUCCAGGACAAGUUUUAUUAUCCUUUUUCACAGGUCUAUUCAGGACUACAUUAGGGGUUUCCUCUUUCCUUUUCUGGUACUUCACACUCAUUCACAACAAAAAACAUAUUGU
Non-coding RNA from Anas platyrhynchos (mallard), 3147 nucleotides. The record is from RefSeq and is a predicted model, not a curated record. NCBI's taxonomy places the organism in Eukaryota, Metazoa, Chordata, Aves, Anseriformes, Anatidae.